RNAcentral lists this ribosomal RNA (494 nucleotides) under uncultured bacterium. RNAcentral's name for it is "partial 16S ribosomal RNA". It matches the Rfam family "Bacterial small subunit ribosomal RNA", at positions 28 to 507 of the family's 1533-position model. The record is from RNAcentral.
GACGAACGCUGGCGGCGUGCUUAACACAUGCAAGUCGAACGGAAAGGCCUGCUUUCCCUUGUGGAUUGCGGGUACUCGAGUGGCGAACGGGUGAGUAACACGUGAGUGAUCUGCCCCCAACUUGGGUAUAAGCCUGGGAAACUGGGUCUAAUUCCCGAUAGGACUGCAGGGUGGUGCCUGUGGUGGAAAACGAUUUUCUAGUGGUUGGGGAUGAGCUCGCGGCCUAUCAGCUUGUUGGUGGGGUAAUGGCCUACCAAGGCGGCGACGGGUAGCCGGCCUGAGAGGGUGGACGGCCACAUUGGGACUGAGAUACGGCCCAGACUCCUACGGGAGGCAGCAGUGGGGAAUAUUGCACAAUGGGCGAAAGCCUGAUGCAGCGACGCCGCGUGGGGGAUGACGGCCUUCGGGUUGUAAACUCCUUUCGACCGCGAGGAAGCCACCUGGUUGGAAGGGUGGUGACGGUAGUGGUAGAAGAAGCACCGGCUAACUACGUG